AUGCUGGCCGAUGGAAGGGCUUGUGAGGUUGCCGUGGGUGAGGCCGCGGUGGCCGUCGAGGCUGGUCGCAGAGAGAAAAAAAGAAGAGAAAACUUUUAUACAAAUUAUAUUGAAUCAUUGGCUGCGGUUUUAACAUUUCCAUUGCAGCUUGUUGUCGACGUUGUUAUAGAUGUUGUGUCUCUUCUUACUGCAAAACAAAAGAGUGUUGGACUGUAUGGGUGGAUGGUGUUGUGCGUGGAGAGAGGAUGA
This is a non-coding RNA of Vicia faba (fava bean), 249 nucleotides long. The record is from the annotation of a GenBank genome assembly. Lineage: Eukaryota; Viridiplantae; Streptophyta; Magnoliopsida; Fabales; Fabaceae.